UACGAAGGGGGCUAGCGUUGUUCGGAAUUACUGGGCGUAAAGCGCGCGCAGGCGGCUAUCCAAGUCAGUGGUGAAAGCCCGGAGCUCAACUCCGGAACUGCCAUUGAAACUGUUUAGCUUGAGGAUGAGAGAGGUGAGUGGAAUUCCCAGUGUAGAGGUGAAAUUCGUAGAUAUUGGGAAGAACACCGGUGGCGAAGGCGGCUCACUGGCUCAUUACUGACGCUCAGGCGCGAUAGCGUGGGGAUCAAAUAGG
RNAcentral lists this ribosomal RNA (253 nucleotides) under uncultured bacterium. RNAcentral's name for it is "partial 16S ribosomal RNA". It matches the Rfam family "Bacterial small subunit ribosomal RNA", at positions 524 to 776 of the family's 1533-position model. The record is from RNAcentral.